Molecule: ribosomal RNA, 292 nt
Filed under: uncultured bacterium
Lineage: Bacteria
Description: partial 16S ribosomal RNA
Rfam family: Bacterial small subunit ribosomal RNA
Source: RNAcentral
GGAUUAGAUACCCUGGUAGUCCACGCCGUAAACGAUGUCUACUAGUUGUUGGGGAACUUGAUUCCUUAGUAACGAAGCUAACGCGAUAAGUAGACCGCCUGGGGAGUACGGCCGCAAGGUUAAAACUCAAAUGAAUUGACGGGGGCCCGCACAAGCGGUGGAGCAUGUGGUUUAAUUCGAAGCAACGCGAAGAACCUUACCUACUCUUGACAUCCUAGGAAUCCCGAAGAGAUUUGGGAGUGCCAUUGGAGCCUAGUGACAGGUGCUGCAUGGCUGUCGUCAGCUCGUGUCG